This 429-nucleotide ribosomal RNA is filed under the name Acidobacteriota bacterium. Its description in RNAcentral is "Acidobacteria bacterium partial 16S ribosomal RNA". It matches the Rfam family "Bacterial small subunit ribosomal RNA", at positions 355 to 776 of the family's 1533-position model. The record is from RNAcentral. Lineage: Bacteria; Pseudomonadati; Acidobacteriota.
UGGGGAAUAUUGGACAAUGGGCGCAAGCCUGAUCCAGCCAUACCGCGUGGGUGAAGAAGGCCUUCGGGUUGUAAAGCCCUUUUGUUGGGAAAGAAAUCCAGCCGGCUAAUACCUGGUUGGGAUGAUGGUACCCAAAGAAUAAGCACCGGCUAACUUCGUGCCAGCAGCCGCGGUAAUACGAAGGGUGCAAGCGUUACUCGGAAUUACUGGGCGUAAAGCGUGCGUAGGUGGUCGUUUAAGUCCGUUGUGAAAGCCCUGGGCUCAACCUGGGAACUGCAGUUGAUACUGGACGACUAGAGUGUGGUAGAGGGUAGCGGAAUUCCUGGUGUAGCAGUGAAAUGCGUAGAGAUCAGGAGGAACAUCCAUGGCGAAGGCAGCUACCUGGACAAACACUGACACUGAGGCACGAAAGCGUGGGGAGCAAACAGG